CUUCAGUCUGUGGAUGUCUUUUCCUAUGAGAUGAGUCUUCAAGGCAGCAUAUUGUUAGGUCUUUUUAAAAAAUACAAUCUGCCAGUCUUAAUUGAUGAGUUUAGGACAUUAACAUUCAGGGUUAUUAUUGAAAAUAUGGUUUGUAAUUCCAGUCAUUUUGGUUUAUUUUUGGUUUUUAACUUGACUUGGUUUCUCUUUUGUUUGGCUUUUCCUUUAGUAUACUUCCUCC
This 229-nucleotide long non-coding RNA is filed under the name Marmota monax (woodchuck). Lineage: Eukaryota; Metazoa; Chordata; Mammalia; Rodentia; Sciuridae. The record is from RNAcentral.